GAAUUUUGGACAAUGGGCGAAAGCCUGAUGCAACAANGCCCCGUGAGUGAAGAAGGCCUUCGUGUUGUAAAGCUCUUUUGUCAUGGGAAGAAACGCGUGAGAGCUAAUAUCUUUUGCUAAUGACUGUACCUGAAGAAUAAUCACCGGCUAACUACGUGCCAGCAGCCGUGGUAAUACGUAAGGUGCAUGCGUUAAUCCGAAUUACUGGGCGUAAAGCGUGCUGCACCGCGGUUUUGUAAGUCUGAUGUGAAAUCCCCGGGCUCAACCUGGGAAUUGCAUUGGAGACUGCAAGGCUAGAAUCUGUCAGAGGGGGGUACAAUUCCACGUGUAGCAAUGAAAUGCGUCUAUAUGAUGGAGGAACACCGACGGCGAACGCAAAUCUUCUGGGUCACAGUAUUGACAUCUCAUGCACGAAAAGUCGUGGGGAUGCAAACAUGGAUUAGAUACCCCGGUAGUCCGCGCCUUAAACACUGUCUAAUACACCGUGUGGGUCUAUAGGUGACUCAACAAUCUAGUCUAAGCGCGUGAAGUUGUUCCGCCUGGCGAGUACGGGCGCAAGAUUAAAACUCAAAGGAAUUGACGGGGACCCGCACAAAGCGGUGGAUGAUGUGGAUUAAUUCCGAUGCAACGCGAAAAACCUUACCUACCCUUGACAUGGUUGGAAUCCCCGAGAAGAUUGGGGAGUGCUCUAAAGAAAACCAUACACAGGUGCUUGCAUGGCU
Molecule: ribosomal RNA, 722 nt
Filed under: uncultured bacterium
Lineage: Bacteria
Description: bacterial SSU rRNA
Rfam family: Bacterial small subunit ribosomal RNA
Source: RNAcentral